This 631-nucleotide ribosomal RNA is filed under the name uncultured eukaryote. RNAcentral describes it as "SSU rRNA". It matches the Rfam family "Eukaryotic small subunit ribosomal RNA", at positions 608 to 1260 of the family's 1831-position model. The record is from RNAcentral.
AGUUGCUGCAGUUAAAAAGCUCGUAGUUGAAUUUCUGUUUGUUAGAGUCGAGUCUUCCAAGACGAGAUCUCUUCGAACAUCUGUUUGCAAUCAUAUGUUCGGUCUUCAUUGAUUGACUAUGUGAGCAAACGUUUUACCUUGAGAAAAUUAGAGUGUUCCAGGCAGGCUUCAGCCGGAAUACAUUAGCAUGGAAUAAUGGAAUAGGACUGGGGACUAUUUUUGGUUUGAGGCUCCAGUAAUGAUUAAUAGGAACAGUCGGGGGCAUUAGUACUUGACAGUCAGAGGUGAAAUUCUUGGAUUUGUCGAAGACUAACUAAUGCGAAAGCAUUUGCCAAGCAUGUUUUCAUUAAUCAAGAACGAAAGUUAGGGGAUCAAAGACGAUUAGAUACCGUCCUAGUCUUAACUGUAAACGAUUCCAUCUUGGAAUUGGGCGGAUAUAUUAUGAUUCGUCCAGCGCCAUAAGAGAAAUCAAAGUCUUUGGGUUCUUGGUGGAGUACGAUCGCAAGAUUGAAACUUAAAGGAAUUGACGGUUUUGCACACCAUGGAGUGGAGCCUGUGGCUUAAUUUGACUCAACACUGGGAAACUCAUCAGGACAAAAAAGUUUUAGGAUUGACAGAUUGAUAGCUCUUU